This 497-nucleotide ribosomal RNA is filed under the name uncultured bacterium. RNAcentral describes it as "partial 16S ribosomal RNA". It matches the Rfam family "Bacterial small subunit ribosomal RNA", at positions 28 to 507 of the family's 1533-position model. The record is from RNAcentral.
GAUGAACGCUGGCGGCGUGCCUAAUACAUGCAAGUCGAGCGAACAGACGAGGAGCUUGCUCCUCUGACGUUAGCGGCGGACGGGUGAGUAACACGUGGAUAACCUACCUAUAAGACUGGGAUAACUUCGGGAAACCGGAGCUAAUACCGGAUAAUAUAUUGAACCGCAUGGUUCAAUAGUGAAAGACGGUUUUGCUGUCACUUAUAGAUGGAUCCGCGCCGCAUUAGCUAGUUGGUAAGGUAACGGCUUACCAAGGCAACGAUGCGUAGCCGACCUGAGAGGGUGAUCGGCCACACUGGAACUGAGACACGGUCCAGGCUCCUAAGGGAGGCAGCAGUAGGGAAUCUUCCGCAAUGGGCGAAAGCCUGACGGAGCAACGCCGCGUGAGUGAUGAAGGUCUUCGGAUCGUAAAACUCUGUUAUUAGGGAAGAACAAAUGUGUAAGUAACUAUGCACGUCUUGACGGUACCUAAUCAGAAAGCCACGGCUAACUACGUG